RNAcentral lists this ribosomal RNA (497 nucleotides) under uncultured bacterium. RNAcentral's name for it is "partial 16S ribosomal RNA". It matches the Rfam family "Bacterial small subunit ribosomal RNA", at positions 28 to 507 of the family's 1533-position model. The record is from RNAcentral.
GAUGAACGCUGGCGGCGUGCCUAAUACAUGCAAGUCGAGCGAACAGACGAGGAGCUUGCUCCUUUGACGUUAGCGGCGGACGGGUGAGUAACACGUGGGUAACCUACCUAUAAGACUGGGAUAACUUCGGGAAACCGGAGCUAAUACCGGAUAAUAUUUCGAACCGCAUGGUUCGAUAGUGAAAGAUGGCUUUGCUAUCACUUAUAGCUGGACCUGCGCCGUAUUAGCUAGUUGGUAAGGUAACGGCUUACCAAGGCAACGAUACGUAGCCGACCUGAGAGGGUGAUCGGCCACACUGGAACUGAGACACGGUCCAGACUCCUACGGGAGGCAGCAGUAGGGAAUCUUCCGCAAUGGGCGAAAGCCUGACGGAGCAACGCCGCGUGAGUGAUGAAGGUCUUCGGAUCGUAAAACUCUGUUAUUAGGGAAGAACAAACGUGUAAGUAACUGUGCACGUCUUGACGGUACCUAAUCAGAAAGCCACGGCUAACUACGUG